GGAGUGUAGUUAAUUGGUAGAUUGCCUGCCUAGCAAGUGGGAGGCCCUGGGUUCCAUCCCCAGCAACACCA
This 71-nucleotide transfer RNA is filed under the name Urocitellus parryii (Arctic ground squirrel). RNAcentral describes it as "Spermophilus parryii (Arctic ground squirrel) tRNA". It matches the Rfam family "tRNA". Rfam says of the family: Transfer RNA (tRNA) molecules are approximately 80 nucleotides in length. Their secondary structure includes four short double-helical elements and three loops (D, anti-codon, and T loops). Further hydrogen bonds mediate the characteristic L-shaped molecular structure. tRNAs have two regions of fundamental functional importance: the anti-codon, which is responsible for specific mRNA codon recognition, and the 3' end, to which the tRNAs corresponding amino acid is attached (by aminoacyl-tRNA synthetases). tRNAs cope with the degeneracy of the genetic code in two manners: having more than one tRNA (with a specific anti-codon) for a particular amino acid; and 'wobble' base-pairing, i.e. permitting non-standard base-pairing at the 3rd anti-codon position. The record is from Rfam by way of RNAcentral. Lineage: Eukaryota; Metazoa; Chordata; Mammalia; Rodentia; Sciuridae. RNAcentral also lists the same sequence under 1 other name.